UCCCUGGUGGCUCAGAUGGAAAAGCGUCUCCCUGCAAUGAAGGAGACCCAGGUUCGAUCCCUGGGUUGGGAA
RNAcentral lists this transfer RNA (72 nucleotides) under Bos taurus (domestic cattle). It matches the Rfam family "tRNA". Rfam says of the family: Transfer RNA (tRNA) molecules are approximately 80 nucleotides in length. The record is from Rfam by way of RNAcentral. Lineage: Eukaryota; Metazoa; Chordata; Mammalia; Artiodactyla; Bovidae.